Ochotona curzoniae (black-lipped pika) is the source of this 127-nucleotide small nucleolar RNA. RefSeq annotates it as small nucleolar RNA SNORA1. The record is from RefSeq and is a predicted model, not a curated record. The transcript has a single exon. NCBI's taxonomy places the organism in Eukaryota, Metazoa, Chordata, Mammalia, Lagomorpha, Ochotonidae.
AGCUGCGUGAGAAUGAACGCUGUGAAUCGUCGUGUCCAACAAAGUCACUGUGGCUGAAUGGAGUUGCAGGUUAUGCGUCCAUCACAGUAAAUAAACGGCAGUGCUGACAAUGAGACCUGUAGCAUUU